CCCAAAGUCGCCGUUUUGUUCUUUGCCAACAACCGCAAUCAUCAUCAUCUUCCCCAUCUCCACUUCUCUAGAUUCCAAAAUCUCAAAUUCUCCCAUCUCAAAUCUAACAGAUUUGGGAAUUGGCAAGAGCCAAGAAGGAUUUUUGAGUCUAACACAACAAUUUCGUUGGGUUAUAAUAUCAUGGCUCCAAUUAGAAAAUAUUCUUCCGGUGCUCAAAAGAGAAAAGAGAAGCAAAAGAGAGAUGCAUUAGUUAAGCUUCAAGCCGGAUCUCUUAGUAAGUACUUCAACACAAAUAAUAAACAAGCACAGACUUCAGCUGAUGCAAGUAUACUUGAGAAUGAGAAGGAUAUUGAAGAACAUGAUCAGUUAAUGACUGAAAAUGAGCGUGCAUAACUGAGUCAAGGUCUUAAUGCCAAUGAAAAAGAUGAUCUUAGUAAGCCUAUACAUGAAAGUGGUGGUACAGACGAACCAAAUCUUCCGGUGAAUGAGGAAGGAAAUAUUAUUGCUGAAGAUGAUCGAAACAAAAAUUCAAGUGCAGAAUUUGAAUUAAUAUAAAAUUUUGGUAAAUGAUUUUGGGAUUGCUAUAUUGAUAUGUUACAAUGGGGAGCCCCAUUUUUCCUUUUGGCCUAGAGCCCCUAAAAACUCAGGGCCGGCCCUGCUUAAUAGUUGUUCUCUUUUGAUGGUUUUUUGCUGGACUCUAGACAAGAUUGAUUUACUUAUAUUUAACAGAAUAAUCUGAUAGGUCUACAACAAGUUUGUCUAUUUGUUUUCUUUUUGUGCAUUCAACUUUUGGUUUUUAGAUUUUC
Long non-coding RNA from Rosa chinensis, 806 nucleotides. RefSeq lists it as uncharacterized. Lineage: Eukaryota; Viridiplantae; Streptophyta; Magnoliopsida; Rosales; Rosaceae. The record is from RefSeq and is a predicted model, not a curated record. The transcript is spliced from 3 exons.